GACGGACGAACCUCUGGUGUGCCAGUUGUCCUGCCAAGGGCACUGCUGGUUGGCUACGUUCGGAAGGGAUAACCGCUGAAAGCAUCUAAGCGGGAAGCCUGUUCCAAGAUGAGGUUUCUCACCCACUCGAUGGGUUAAGGCCCCCUACAGACCAUGGGGUUGAUAGGCCAGAACUGGAAGCCCGGUAACGGGUGGAGGUGACUGGUACUAAUAGGCCGAGGACUUACCAAC
RNAcentral lists this ribosomal RNA (231 nucleotides) under Nocardia cyriacigeorgica. RNAcentral's name for it is "partial 23S ribosomal RNA". It matches the Rfam family "Bacterial large subunit ribosomal RNA", at positions 2696 to 2925 of the family's 2925-position model. Lineage: Bacteria; Bacillati; Actinomycetota; Actinomycetes; Mycobacteriales; Nocardiaceae. The record is from RNAcentral.